RNAcentral lists this long non-coding RNA (860 nucleotides) under Sinocyclocheilus grahami. Its description in RNAcentral is "lncRNA (ENSSGRG00000009778.1)". The record is from RNAcentral. Lineage: Eukaryota; Metazoa; Chordata; Actinopteri; Cypriniformes; Cyprinidae.
UAUGGAAACAGUGAUGACCUGGACUGGGAUCCAAAGAGAAAAGACAUUUCAGGUGCCUCUCAAUGCAGGAAUAUGACUCUUAAAUUGAUUUCAAGUGACCAAAAUGUUGAGGUGUUCAGACAGAGACUUGCAGACAUAGUAUCAUAAUUUACAUUCAUAUAUGAGUAAUAGAUCUGCCCUGGGUGUUUACAGAUGCAUCUGAACACACAUUCUCAUCUAGGAAAGAGAAAGACCCGUCCUGUAAGGCAGUUCUUCUGGCUGUCCUUAGUAUCUCUCUGCUCGUGGCUCUGCUGGCUCUGUGUGUUCUGGGAAUUCUCUAUUCCCAUCUACUGAGGUCAUCUGAUUUGUUAAAAGAACAGAACAGAAAUGCUGCAGUCGACAUUGAAAUACAGGAGCAUAAUGCCACAGAACAACUGAACUGGAUGGAAAGUCGAGAUUAUUGUAUGAAAACUGGAGGUCAGCUGGUCAAACUAGCAGGCAAAGAUGAUCAGAUAAGUGUACAAUAUAUUUAUGUGUGUUUUUAGAUUUAAAAACAACUCUUGGUGAGUAAAAGGAGGUGCUUGACUUCCAGAAAAUGUUGAUAAUCAACAAUACGUUUUGUAUUUUUGGCCAACCCCAUAACCAAAAUAACUAUUAAAUUCACAUGGACACAAUUACAUAUCACAUCUCAUGAACUUGUCUUAUUAUGUCCUUUCCCAGUAUAAUUUGGCCUCAAUAAAGCUGAAAGAGCUGCAUUGGAUUGGACUACAUGAUUUGUACACUGAAGGACACUGGAUGUGGGUGGACAACACAAUUCUCUCAGGAGAAACGUAAGAGUUUGAGUUCAUUCACUUUAGCUGGCAUAAAUGCAUCUUUUCCGU